UGCGGGGAUAGCUCAGUUGGGAGAGCGUCAGACUGAAGAUCUGAAGGUCGCGUGUUCGAUCCACGCUCACCGCAAAAAUCACUUUUUUAAAUAAUUGGGUUUCUAUUUGCUAUAAAUAAUUAUGAUUUCACGUUUGGCGCUUUAUCAUCCAAACUUGGUUUCCAGGCUCCAAUCUUAUGUUAUUAACUUAUUACUUUAGAC
Molecule: non-coding RNA, 201 nt
Organism: Lupinus albus (white lupine)
Lineage: Eukaryota; Viridiplantae; Streptophyta; Magnoliopsida; Fabales; Fabaceae
Source: the annotation of a GenBank genome assembly